Dasypus novemcinctus (nine-banded armadillo) is the source of this 4273-nucleotide long non-coding RNA. The record is from Ensembl. Lineage: Eukaryota; Metazoa; Chordata; Mammalia; Cingulata; Dasypodidae.
CACCCACCCGCUCAGGGAAGUCCAAGGCGAUGGGUUUUACAACUCAGAGUCUGAAGGCCCUAAUAAUAAGUGGCCGGAAACUAUUUUCAUCUUUUUAAGGAGUGUCAGAAAGGAAACUGGGUCCUGUUUCUACCAAAUCAAAGACGACUGCAAGAAGGUUAAUGCGUCUUCCCGGCCCCAGAGUCUCCAAAUCUGACCAGACCUGGGGAGCUCGGUUCUUCAAGACCUGCUUGAGAAGGUCUCGAACUCCAUAUGGCAACAGUUUUAACUCUCCGGGAUCCCCGCGCGGCCGGCGGAGCCCGCGGGCAGGCGCGCGGGUAACCCUCGGCCACCUCGCGGCUGCGCCACCGCGCUCCCACCCGUGCACGGCGCCCACCCGAGUCCGCCCGCGUUCUUUACUUUCUCCGGCACUCGGCCGGGCGCGGCUCCUACGCCAGAACGCGGCGAGGAAAGCGACAACCUGGCCGGAGAGAAAAUAAACUUCCUGGAAGCAUGACUCUGAGGUCCUUCUGGUCUCUGCCCCAUCCAGCGGUGAGCACUAAAGUGACAGAGACCAAGGAGUUCAUCAAUGGCACAUCCUCAUCACUGCACAUUUCUGCAUUGGCCUCACCCCACGUCACUUCCAACCAAACUAGUGCUCUUCUACAUUCAUCCAGAAUCUCCCCGUGCUUCACCUCAUCCCUGUUUUUUUUUGAAAAAGCUUAGAAAUGGGAUUUUAUGCUUCUGACUCUUAAGUCACACUCUCUUCUGCAGUCAGGGACCAAGUAUCCUGAAAGAAUUUAAUGCUUGAUUUCUGCCCAAGAUGUCCGUCAAGGAGGCGAGUAGUCGAGGGGUAAAUGAUUCCCCUAGUGCCUUUCCCUCUUUCCCAACACUCAUUUCCUCCCCCUCCCCCCUUCCCACCUGAAAGUCCAUCCUGUGAGGCAAGGCUCUGCCUCCCCCUGGCUUCCACCGUCAUCUACAGAUAUUUAUCAGUACCCAUCCGAGAACCGACCAGGUGCCACUAAUAGAGGAUGAAAGGUAUACCUUAGACAGUAGUUUUCUCUCCCCAGAUGGUACUGCAGGGCGUGUAUGGGGUGGCGAGAAGGCAUUUAGUGCCUGUGCGGCUAGACGCUGAGCACCUGCAAUGCUUGGGGCAGACUUUCCCCGCAAAGAAUUACCCUGCCAAAAAUGUCGAUAAAACCGCUCCAGAAACACUGCCUUAGACCAAAGCCCCGCCAUCCAGUAGGAAAGAUGAGGUCCAGUCAUGUGAAGAUUUGACCCAGACCUCUAUGAGGUAGUAAAUUAAGCAGGAAUUUAGGGCAAUGGCAGUGAGAGCUGAGUAAGGCAUUGUAGGCAAGAAGUACGUGUGUGGGAAGACACCGCGGGACACGCUCGUGCGCCUGAAGGGCCGUGAGUGGACAGCACAUCUGGUUAGCCCAAAGGACAACCCCCUAAUGCUGAGGUUCCUAGCAGGUGGAGGCGAUGUUUGUAGUCAUGGGCUUUGCUCAACAUCCACUAACCCCACCUUUCAGAAUGCAGGUCUGGCCACACCACUCUGCACACCUAAAAUCCUUCUUUGGCUUCUCUUCCCUCUUAGGAUAAAGGUUAAAAUCUUUCAUAUGUCUUUUAAAUAAUAUGACCACGUAUCACAGUUUGCCUGAGUCAGCCCCCUUUUAUGCCUACUGUCCAGUGUUAUUACUAGUGUCCCUUGCUUUCUCAGAAAUGUCCUGGUUUGGGCAUAUUUUAUGAUGACCUUGCUUUUAAUGCCAUAUACCAUCUGACUUCUACUUAACUUUCAACACUUUCUCUCACCACUUUCCUUCACUUUGCACCCAAGGUCUUAGCCAUACUUUUCCCUCUGACCUGAAGAGCAUGCCCUCCGCACGACACACAGGCCUCCAGUUAACCGUUCUCACAUUCUUCCCAUCUUAGCUCAGAUGUAUUGCCUCAGGAAAGCCUGCCUGACCCCCUAGUCUCAGAAAGCAUCUUGUUUUUCCUUGCUGAGGGAAAACUAAGCUCUCAGCUGUAGUGAGUGUUAAGCAGAGUUUACUGCUAGGCAAGGCCAGAAAACCUCACUCAAUACAGAGGUGUAAGCGUGUGGGAUGGAGCCAGAAUAAUCAUCAAAGAUUAUUUGCUCAGAGACUAUUAUUUUAAAGCCCUGAGGAUCGACUUGUAUAUAGGUGUUAUAGAAGGAGCAGCGCCUUCCUAUCCCAUCUCUCAAACCAAAGGCAAGGAUGGGACUUACAAAGGCAAAAGCCACCAUGUUCAAAAGGAAUGACUGACCAUUUAAACAAAUUCUUGAUUUUUCAGUUCAGCGUUUACAUUGCUAGUAUUUUAUGUUAAUCAUAAAAUCUUCAGCUGGAAGAAAAGAGGGUGUUUGAUGUUCCCUUCUCUGUGUUUUGCAGACUUUUAAAAACCCAUGGACUUUAGGGUGGGCCCUUGGCUGCACCCAAAGUCUGUCUGAUUUUUAGAAACUAUGGGGACCCAUCAAGUCUGUUAUACUGAAUCCAGAUAGUACAGUUGAGUCACAGACCACAAACAGUCACAGUUUCACCGUCAAACCUAUUUUAUUAUGGAUUCUGACCAUUUUUUCCCCCAAGAAUUUGCACAAUUCUCUUCCUCUGAGACCCUGACUGCUUGCUAUCACACAAUUUCUCAUAGCCACUGGGCUCAGGCUCUUUAAAUUCUGAUUUAUGGAAACUUUUCAUCACCCUUUGUAGAACUGUUUUGUUUUUGUGAUACUUUUCUUAAUUUGGUUAUUAUAUAUUUAGAGAAAUUAUUUAAUACCACAAAAUGUUUUCCUCACAAUUAUAUUUCUGGAGAACAGCAUUGUACCUAGUAUGUAGUAUGUAUUCGCUAAAUAUUUGUUGACUGCACAAAUAAAUGAAUGAAUGAAAUGACCUUUGAUUCUAAUUAUUCUGAGCUUGACACUAUCUGGGAGUCUUUACUGCCUCAAAUCCCAUAGCAAACAAUACUAGUUGCCUACCCAAUACCAUCCUUCCCUUUUACCUGAAUAACAUAACUUUGGUUUUAUUUGCGGCCACAAUGUGCCCAAUACUUCCCAGCUUACGUUGUAGCUAGCAAUAGCCAUGUAGUAGUUCUGGCCAAUGACACUACCAUUUAACCCAGAGAGAGUUCUGGGAAAGUGUUACUUUCCCUCCUUGUUAGCUCUUUUUCCUACCUGGAAAGCAAACAUGGGAUUAGAAGUGGAAUAACCAUCUUGCCACCAUGAGGACAUGAGGCAGCUGGAAGGAGUCUGGGUCCAUUGGCAUUGUUGAAUUGCUGAACCUGCUCUAGACUGCCUACCUCUUAACUUUAUUUCCUGAGAAGAAUAGAAUCCUAUUUGGUUAAAUCACUAAUACUGGGUUUCUGUUAUAGCAGCCAAACUCAAUCCUGACUGAUACAAGUGAAUUAAAACUAGAGAGUAAAACUUAGGAAGCAACAGGCAGUUUCACUAUGCAAACUUGUUCCUUUUCUUUUUUAUUGUUCAUACUUUGUCUCUUCAACUUUGCAAAAGACAUCUAAUACCUUUUGUUUUGGUUGAGAAGGUGGACUGUACUCAAUAAAAAAGUAAAUGGAAAAUAAAAUCAAAGAGGGGCACUUUGUAAAUCAGAAAAACAUUAUUUUCCCUCCCACACACACAGCAAGAUGGCACAGCACUUUCUGAAAUGGUCUGUGAUUAUGAAGCCUAAUGGAAAUGCACUCCUCUGCCACAAUCAUCUACUUCCAUCACAUGGAACAACUUCAGUUUAUCUAGUUCCCCCAAAUUGGUUCCCACACUAUAGAGUUGUGUCAGAAAGGAACACUGAGGAAAAAAUGGAUUUUUAAAAGUCUACAACAUACAGACAAGAAAAGAUCAAUUACUCUCUUUUCUUCUAGUGGAAGAUUUUAUGAUUAACCUAAAACACCAGCAAUAUUUUAAAAAAAGAAAACUAAUAGUUCUUUCUUUGGUUUUUCAAUCUUAAGUAUUAGCUGAGUAUUAUCUAUCAUUUCCUGAAAGAGUCUGACUUCUUUCUCUAUAGUCACACCAAUUUAUAAUGUUUUUCAUAAGUUUCAUUAUAUAGACAUUUCAGAACAGAAAUACCAUACAAAGAAAUGUUUUUUGAAAGAGAUCUGGCCAAGGAGUGAGAAAAUCUGGGUUCUCUUUCUGUUUCAUAAUUUGGGAAAACUUCACUGAUGCUCACUUUUCUUAUGGAAAUAAAAUGAAAAUUAAAAUGAUUGAUGACUACUUCAUAAUGUGAUUGAGAGGAUUGAGUAAGAUGAUGUAUGAAAAAAUACUUCCUAACCUCCAUGC